AGCGAACGCUGGCGGCAGGCCUAACACAUGCAAGUCGAACGAACCUUUCGGGGUUAGUGGCGGACGGGUGAGUAACACGUGGGAACGUGCCUUUAGGUUCGGAAUAACUCAGGGAAACUUGUGCUAAUACCGAAUGUGCCCUUCGGGGGUAAGAUUUAUCGCCUUUAGAGCGGCCCGCGUCUGAUUAGCUAGUUGGUUGAGGUAAUGGCUCACCAAGGCGACGAUCAGUAGCUGGUCUGAGAGGAUGAUCAGCCACAUUGGGACUGAGACACGGCCCAAACUCCUACGGGAGGCAGCAGUGGGGAAUCUUGCGCAAUGGGCGAAAGCCUGACGCAGCCAUGCCGCGUGAAUGAUGAAGGUCUUAGGAUUGUAAAAUUCUUUCACCGGGGACGAUAAUGACGGUACCCGGAGAAGAAGCCCCGGCUAACUUCGUG
RNAcentral lists this ribosomal RNA (434 nucleotides) under uncultured bacterium. Its description in RNAcentral is "partial 16S ribosomal RNA". It matches the Rfam family "Bacterial small subunit ribosomal RNA", at positions 29 to 507 of the family's 1533-position model. The record is from RNAcentral.